CCGCGCAGAGCCCGCGCCAGGGCCGCCGGCCGCAGAGCAUUAAAACGUGCAGGCACCAGAAGGCACUUCCUGUCGGUGAAGAAGACCUGUCUCCGGUGUCACGGGCAUCCUGUGUUUUGCAAACGGGGCUGACCUCCCUUCCUGGGGAGCAGGAAGGGUCAGUGUUAGGAAGGAAAAGAAGUACAGAAGAUCUGGCUAAACAAUUUCUGUAUGGCGAAAGAAAAAUUCUAACUUGUACGCCCUCUUCAUGCAUCUUUAAUUCAAUUUGAAUAUUCCAGCGACAUCCUCACUGACCGAGCAAAGAUUGACAUUCGUAUCAUCACUGUGCACCAUUGGCUUCUAGGCACUCCAGUGGGGUAGGAGAAGGAGGUCUGAAACCCUCGCAGAGGGAUCUUGCCCUCAUUCUUUGGGUCUGAAACACUGGCAGUCGUUGGAAACAGGACUCAGGAUAAACCAGCGCAAUGGAUUGGGGGACGCUGCACACUUUCAUCGGGGGUGUCAACAAACACUCCACCAGCAUCGGGAAGGUGUG
RNAcentral lists this long non-coding RNA (532 nucleotides) under Homo sapiens (human). RNAcentral describes it as "non-protein coding lnc-GJB2-2:1". Lineage: Eukaryota; Metazoa; Chordata; Mammalia; Primates; Hominidae. The record is from RNAcentral.